RNAcentral lists this ribosomal RNA (740 nucleotides) under uncultured bacterium. RNAcentral describes it as "bacterial SSU rRNA". It matches the Rfam family "Bacterial small subunit ribosomal RNA", at positions 790 to 1530 of the family's 1533-position model. The record is from RNAcentral.
GUAGUCCUGGCUGUAAACGAUGUCGACUUGGAGGUUGUGCCCUUGAGGCGUGGCUUCCGGAGCUAACGCGUUAAGUCGACCGCCUGGGGAGUACGGCCGCAAGGUUAAAACUCAAAUGAAUUGACGGGGGCCCGCACAAGCGGUGGAGCAUGUGGUUUAAUUCGAUGCAACGCGAAGAACCUUACCUGGUCUUGGCAUCCACGGAAGUUUUCAGAGAUGAGAAUGUGCCUUCGGGAACCGUGAGACAGGUGCUGCAUGGCUGUCGUCAGCUCGUGUUGUGAAAUGUUGGGUUAAGUCCCGCAACGAGCGCAACCCUUAUCCUUUGUUGCCAGCGGUCCGGCCGGGAACUCAAAGGAGACUGCCAGUGAUAAACUGGAGGAAGGUGGGGAUGACGUCAAGUCAUCAUGGCCCUUACGACCAGGGCUACACACGUGCUACAAUGGCGCAUACAAAGAGAAGCGACCUCGCGAGAGCAAGCGGACCUCAUAAAGUGCGUCGUAGUCCGGAUUGGAGUCUGCAACUCGACUCCAUGAAGUCGGAAUCGCUAGUAAUCGUGGAUCAGAAUGCCACGGUGAAUACGUUCCCGGGCCUUGUACACACCGCCCGUCACACCAUGGGAGUGGGUUGCAAAAGAAGUAGGUAGCUUAACCUUCGGGAGGGCGCUUACCACUUUGUGAUUCAUGACUGGGGUGAAGUCGUAACAAGGUAACCGUAGGGGAACCUGCGGCUGGAUCACCUCC